UGAAUAGAUGACUGGAUGUCUAACACAUA
Molecule: non-coding RNA, 29 nt
Filed under: Mus musculus (house mouse)
Lineage: Eukaryota; Metazoa; Chordata; Mammalia; Rodentia; Muridae
Source: RNAcentral